This 1256-nucleotide ribosomal RNA is filed under the name Triticum aestivum (bread wheat). RNAcentral describes it as "partial small subunit ribosomal RNA". Lineage: Eukaryota; Viridiplantae; Streptophyta; Magnoliopsida; Poales; Poaceae. The record is from RNAcentral.
UACUUGUACUCAACCAGAAUAGGGACGAAUACUUAAGAGACACAGGAAGUCACUAAGUACAACACGCACGACUGACUAUCUACCUACGGGAAAAUACGUUUAAACGGUACUAAAGAACUAAUGUACCCUAAUCAUCUUUCCUCUACUAUGGGUACCGGAAAAAACGUGGUUACGUUUGUCGGGAGUAGUUAGUAAUCAAAAACAACGUCUAAAAGUACGAUUUAAAAGAAUAUAAAGAGAGAAAAGCUAAAUUGUUAGAGGCAAAACAAAAUAAAACACCGACGAAUAGGUAAACACAACGACGAGAGGAGACCAAACAGCGGUACUUGUACGGUAACCAUAAAGACGUGGAAUGGAUUUGUUCCAGUGGGGUAUUAAAGAGGUCCCAGGUCGUAGUUUCCGAAGAAGAGAAGAAGGACGUGAUGGGUACAGUUCGAGGCACCGCAACCUAUUUUCUCAUUCUACUGCUGGAACGAACGUUGGAUGGAACCAAACCCGGGAACACUAGACCAGGUACAUCGAUCGAAACUCCACCUACUUGUACAUAACAUAACGUAGAAGUUAUUUUGACACUGUGUAAGUUGAAUUAAUAACGUUUUGUAGUCAAUCACGAGAGGACGUUAAAUAAACCUAUUAGAUUUUCGUGUAGUGAAUAGAAGAGUUGAUCACGACAUCAAACCAACGACACUCUAAGUUAAGUUACCAGAACAUGUAUAGUGCAGACCCAUUUGUUAACGGAGGACAGAUGAUCAAAGAUUACGGACCUCAUUAGACACCGACUAAACAUGGCCAAGAUAUAUAAAUCAUUAACGACAGUAACCAACGUCUUAGGACUUAGAUAAGAACAACAUGACUCUCUCGAAAGAGAAAUAAAAAAGAACACUGGCUAAACCGGAGGAGGACGGAGGUGUGCACGUCACGUCCUUCCCAGAUAGAGGUGUAGUGUUCAGACUACCCAGGAACCACCAAAAGAGUCAAACUGGGACGACGACUCCUACGUGUCCGACGAGGAGCAAGUAAGCUCCACGCACGACGUAUACUAACUACUGGAAAGGGAAUAGACCACCUACUUGGUAGACCUAAAACGUAAGUAAAAGUCGACGCUACGAAAAGACGACAUUUGAUUUAGGGUGAAAAGUAAGUACUUAAAACACGGUUAGUUGAUGAUUUUUGGGUCACGGUGACCGAACAUCUUGUUUUUUUGCUUUAAGUACUUACACUUGGUUGACGGGAAGGACGUCAUCGUAAUUAAAUCC